AUUGAACGCUGGCGGCAGGCCUAACACAUGCAAGUCGAGCGAGCGGCGGACGGGAGAGUAGUGUAUGGGGACUGCCCGAUAGAGGGGGAAAACUACGGGAAACGGUGGCUAAUACCGAAUACUAUCGGAGGACCUUUAUGGGAUUAGCGAGUGGGUGGGGUAAAGGCUCACCUAGGCGACGAUCUCUAGCUGGUCUGAGAGGUUGAUGAGCCACAUGGGAACUGAGACACGGCCCAGACUCCUACGGAGGCAGCAUUGGGGAAUUUUGGCCAAUGGCGGAAAGCCUGAUGCAGCCAUGCCGCGUGUAUGAAGAAGGCCUUAGGGUUGUAAAGUACUUUCAGCGGGGAGGCGUUACCCGCAGAGAAAGCACCGGCUAACUCCGUGCCAGCAGCCGCGGUAAUAC
RNAcentral lists this ribosomal RNA (403 nucleotides) under uncultured bacterium. RNAcentral describes it as "partial 16S ribosomal RNA". It matches the Rfam family "Bacterial small subunit ribosomal RNA", at positions 30 to 526 of the family's 1533-position model. The record is from RNAcentral.